CAGUAGCCACGGUAAUACGAAGGGGGCUAGCGUUGCUCGGAAUUACUGGGCGUAAAGCGUGCGUAGGUGGUGGUUUAAGUCCGUUGUGAAAGCCCUGGGCUCAACCUGGGAAUUGCAGUGGAUACUGGGUCACUAGAGUGUGGUAGAGGAUAGUGGAAUUUCCGGUGUAGCAGUGAAAUGCGUAGAGAUCGGAAGGAACAUCUGUGGCGAAGGCGACUAUCUGGGCCAACACUGACACUGAGGCACGAAAGCGUGGGGAGCAAACAGGAUUAGAGACCCCCGUAGUCCCUGUCUCUUAUAC
Molecule: ribosomal RNA, 301 nt
Filed under: uncultured bacterium
Lineage: Bacteria
Description: partial 16S ribosomal RNA
Rfam family: Bacterial small subunit ribosomal RNA
Source: RNAcentral